RNAcentral lists this transfer RNA (77 nucleotides) under bacterium. Its description in RNAcentral is "tRNA-Arg". It matches the Rfam family "tRNA". From Rfam's summary of the family: Transfer RNA (tRNA) molecules are approximately 80 nucleotides in length. RNAcentral also lists the same sequence under 5 other names. The record is from RNAcentral.
GUCUCCGUAGCUCAGCAGGAUAGAGCAUUCGCCUCCUAAGCGAAAGGCCGCGCGUUCGAAUCGCGCCGGGGACGCCA